This 889-nucleotide long non-coding RNA is filed under the name Cricetulus griseus (Chinese hamster). Its description in RNAcentral is "lncRNA (ENSCGRG00015031364.1)". Lineage: Eukaryota; Metazoa; Chordata; Mammalia; Rodentia; Cricetidae. The record is from RNAcentral.
CGGAAAACUAAGUAGGGAAAGAAUAGGAGGAAGUAGGCUUGCCAUUUGGCCAAACAACCUUUUCUUCAUUGAGCUCAAAGCUUAGCCGAUUCACAGUGGUGGUGGUGGUUAGGCAUAAUUGGCUUGCAAAUUUCUUUCUUUCUUUCGUAACUCCUUACUUUUGAACUGUCUUUGGGCAAUGGAGGCGAUGACAGCUUUUGAGAACAGCAAUCUCUAGGUGUUCAGGCACAUUGAAAAGAAACUUAAAACCUGGUGAAAGAAAGUGUGGUGGACAGAUGAUUUGCUAGUGUGGUGAUGUCUGUUGACGAUGCAUCUGCAAAUUAAGCAGAUACCGUCCACGUUUGUGUGAGAGAUGAGAAGCCUGAUUGGUGUCAGCACAAUGACCAUCAAAGGAGCAGGCUCUGCUGGUUGCUGAGAAGGAAGCCGGUUGCUGUUCCUUCUGCCCCUCCCUGGUUGAGAUUGGUGUGUUUAGAAUCUGCAGCAAGAAGAUAGCAAAGCUGAAGGCAGAAGUGUGAGCCUGCUAGACGUGGUGAGGAGCCUACGGCCUCCUUCUGGGCAUACCGCCUGUGUGCAGUACCCUCUCAGGGCAGAAGAGGGCACCAGGUCCUCUGAACCGAAGUUAGGGGAUGACGGUGAGCUGUGACAGGCGUGCUGGGAAUUGAACCCCGAUCCCCUCCCCGUAAGAGCAGCAAGUGCUCUCAACAGGUAGGCAGUCUCCAGGUUCUGUAGAAGAAACAUUAUUUGCAACAGGCAACACUUCAUUACUAAAUAGAAAACACAAAGAAAUGAGGGGGUUGUUUAAUGUUGUUCCAUAAUUUCCAAUUUUAUAGAGCUGUUAGUUUCCAUUAGUUUCCAUUAUUUAAAGGUGUUGGAAAAUGACCAUACUUAA